AGCUCUGUAAGCGUAUACCAAAGUUGUUGCAGUUAAAACGCUCGUAGUCGGAAUUUGGUGGGUGAGGCAGGUCAUCUUUGCGGAUGAACUUGUAUCAACCACCUUUGUGGAGGGGGGCUUAGUGGUGCUUUAUUGCCUCGCUAAGUCGCUGCCACCGUUUACUGUGAAAAAAUUGGAGUGUUCAAAGCAGGCGUUUGCCUUGUACACAUUAGCAUGGAAUAAUAGAAUAGGACCUGGUUCUAUUUUGUUGGUUUGUGAGAAUUAGGUAAUGAUUAAGAGGGACGGUUGGGGGCAUUUGUAUUCUGCCGUCAGAGGUGAAAUUCUUAGAUUGGCGGAAGACAAACAGCUGCGAAAGCGUCUGCCAAGGACGUUUUCAU
Molecule: ribosomal RNA, 377 nt
Filed under: uncultured eukaryote
Lineage: Eukaryota
Description: SSU rRNA
Rfam family: Eukaryotic small subunit ribosomal RNA
Source: RNAcentral